RNAcentral lists this ribosomal RNA (371 nucleotides) under Escherichia coli. RNAcentral's name for it is "partial 23S ribosomal RNA". It matches the Rfam family "Bacterial large subunit ribosomal RNA", at positions 1292 to 1665 of the family's 2925-position model. Lineage: Bacteria; Pseudomonadati; Pseudomonadota; Gammaproteobacteria; Enterobacterales; Enterobacteriaceae. The record is from RNAcentral.
GAAUGCUGACAUAAGUAACGAUAAAGCGGGUGAAAAGCCCGCUCGCCGGAAGACCAAGGGUUCCUGUCCAACGUUAAUCGGGGCAGGGUGAGUCGACCCCUAAGGCGAGGCCGAAAGGCGUAGUCGAUGGGAAACAGGUUAAUAUUCCUGUACUUGGUGUUACUGCGAAGGGGGGACGGAGAAGGCUAUGUUGGCCGGGCGACGGUUGUCCCGGUUUAAGCGUGUAGGCUGGUUUUCCAGGCAAAUCCGGAAAAUCAAGGCUGAGGCGUGAUGACGAGGCACUACGGUGCUGAAGCGACAAAUGCCCUGCUUCCAGGAAAAGCCUCUAAGCAUCAGGUAACAUCAAAUCGUACCCCAAACCGACACAGGUG